Molecule: ribosomal RNA, 376 nt
Filed under: uncultured organism
Description: partial 16S ribosomal RNA
Rfam family: Bacterial small subunit ribosomal RNA
Source: RNAcentral
GGGGGGGGGGGCAAGCGUUGUUCGGAAUUACUGGGCGUAAAGGGCGCGUAGGCGGGUCCCGCAAGUCCUCCGUGAAAUCCCACAGCUCAACUGUGGAACUGCGAGGGAAACUGCAGGACUUGAGUCCGGGAGAGGAGAGUGGAAUUCCCAGUGUAGCGGUGAAAUGCGUAGAUAUUGGGAGGAACACCGGUGGCGAAGGCGGCUCUCUGGACCGGUACUGACGCUGAGGCGCGAAAGCUAGGGGAGCAAACGGGAUUAGAUACCCCGGUAGUCCUAGCCUUAAACGAUGAGCACUUGGUGUGGCGGGUAUCGACCCCUGCCGUGCCGAAGCUAACGCAUUAAGUGCUCCGCCUGGGGAGUACGGUCGCAAAGGCUG